This 398-nucleotide ribosomal RNA is filed under the name uncultured bacterium. RNAcentral describes it as "partial 16S ribosomal RNA". It matches the Rfam family "Bacterial small subunit ribosomal RNA", at positions 523 to 918 of the family's 1533-position model. The record is from RNAcentral.
AUACGUAGGGUGCGAGCGUUGUCCGGAAUUACUGGGCGUAAAGAGCUCGUAGGUGGUUUGUCGCGUCGUCUGUGAAAUUCCGGGGCUUAACUCCGGGCGUGCAGGCGAUACGGGCAUAACUUGAGUACUGUAGGGGAGACUGGAAUUCCUGGUGUAGCGGUGAAAUGCGCAGAUAUCAGGAGGAACACCGGUGGCGAAGGCGGGUCUCUGGGCAGUAACUGACGCUGAGGAGCGAAAGCAUGGGUAGCGAACAGGAUUAGAUACCCUGGUAGUCCAUGCCGUAAACGGUGGGCGCUAGGUGUAGGGGUCUUCCACGACUUCUGUGCCGUAGCUAACGCAUUAGGCGCCCCGCCUGGGGAGUACGGCCGCAAGGCUAAAACUCAAAUGAAUUGACGGGG